GAAAGCAUUAGGGGAGCCCACGGCUACAAAAACAAGUGAGUGAGAAGAGGUGGGAGGAAGAGAAACUACGCCACCUCCCCUGCAGCCGAGUGCACGCAGCAGCCUGGCGUGACAAGUGGGCGACGCCGGGGGGCAGGGAGCCGGGGUCCUUGGCCCUGGCCGGGGACCCCACCGCCCACCGCGCGGAGGACAACUUUUAGCCGGCAGCCCAGACCAGCGCGGCACCUGUCUCCGGAGUCUCCACCGCUCCUCCCGAUUCAUCCCAGGGAAAUUCUCAAGAAUACGCUCUACAAAUCUACGUGCGCAUCAUUUUCACCUCGCGUCGCGCCCGGGAGGAAGGAACGAGGCAAGGAGCUAAAGCAGCGUGCGUUCAGCCCUGGGGCAUUUUAUUAAUGCUUUUACGAGUUAGAAGAGUUGGGAUAAUUUGCCAUCUGGAGUUUCUCUGCCUUGCUGAUCUGAGCUCAGACCUGCCAAUUUACCAGAGAUAAUUGAUAACACCCUGUAACAGCUGAAGACAGAGUCUUACCCUGUCACCCAGGCUGGAGUACAAUGGUGCGAUCUCGGCUCACUGCAACCUCUGCCUCCUGGGUUCAAGUGAUUCUUCUGCCUCAGCCUCCUGAGUAGCUGGGACUACAGGAGGAAAAUGGAAGAAACGGAGAUACUUUUAGUGAAGCAGAAUAAACCACUGAACAGGAAAAAUGAGGAAGCUGUGAGUACCAGUGGAAGGAACGAGCCAGGAAGAGGGACUGGAACCAUCUCAGAAGCCAUGCCCCUCAGGCUGGAACUUGCCCUGUCUCCUCGCAGAUGAGUCUCUUCUUUCCGCCAGCUACCUCUUGUGUUUAAGAAUUAAAGGAAGAUGAGCUAGGAAUCAAGAAAUACGCAGAACUGAUUCCUGUCACUGGCGCCACCCUGCCACUUGCCCAGAGCUGUGGUAUAAAUUUUUUUAAUAGGCUGAAAUAAAAAUAUGAAUAGCAUUUUGGUAUUAAGCAUUAAAUUGAUAAAGGCUAUGAGAUACACCUGCUCUCAACCAUGUUAAUUUUUUAUUAUUGGUAUUAAUAAAUUAUUACUUACUAACAUAUUAACAAGAAUUGCAUUGAGAAACAAAGCAUCCACAGGCCAAAUCUUCUGAAUUUCAAAUGUUUAUAUUAAUGCGUUGUAUUCUAGAAAAGUAGAAUUGUCUUAAGUAGCUUUGUAAUAUAAAGUCAUCUAUCAGCCCAUUACACCUAUUAGAAUGUUUUAACCUUUAUUUCCCACUUUUUUGUUUCUAGACUGAGUGUACUUGGUCUGGUAUUUGUGGCAUAACUUACGGAACACAUAAGAAUGAUACAGAUACUAUUUAAUGAUGACCUAAUACAAGCUUAGAUAGCUAAGGUGAAAGCUUCUAUGGCCUUAACAUUUUCCUCUUGAAGAAUGUAUUUUCUGUAAUAAAAUACAGUGGCUACUUGAAAUCUAUAAACUUAUGUGAGGUCUGGAUAAAUCUGAGCAACUUUCUUCUUUGUGCUCCAGGAACCUACGCACUAUAUAUAUAAAUAAAGCUUAAGUAAACAUCA
Long non-coding RNA from Homo sapiens (human), 1550 nucleotides. Ensembl annotates it as long intergenic non-protein coding RNA, p53 induced transcript. Its record names the gene LINC-PINT. The record is from Ensembl. Lineage: Eukaryota; Metazoa; Chordata; Mammalia; Primates; Hominidae.